Molecule: transfer RNA, 105 nt
Filed under: Cryptomonas sp.
Lineage: Eukaryota; Cryptophyceae; Cryptomonadales; Cryptomonadaceae
Description: tRNA-Cys
Source: RNAcentral
GAGUGCGUAGCUCAGUGGUUUCGUACCUAGAGAGCGUUUGACUGCAGAUCAAAAUUGAUAUUAUGGUCGGGAGUUCAAAUUGUUCCGGUUUUCUCCUCGCACUCU